This 420-nucleotide unclassified non-coding RNA is filed under the name fungal sp. Its description in RNAcentral is "partial internal transcribed spacer region". The stretch from base 1 to 46 matches the Rfam family "Eukaryotic small subunit ribosomal RNA", at positions 1786 to 1831 of the family's 1831-position model. Lineage: Eukaryota; Fungi. The record is from RNAcentral.
AAGUCGUAACAAGGUCUCCGUAGGUGAACCUGCGGAGGGAUCAUUAACACGUUUUUCUAAACGUUUCCAACCAACCCGUGAACUUUUUAAAUAUAACCCCGACCUGAGAGUUGAGAGAAUCCUGCUUUUCUGUACUUAGUGAUGAGUGUUUGGGCGCAAGCCCAAAUGCGAGUACAUUCAAGCUGGGAGAGCAGUUUAUUAUCUAUGCUUGCAUACAAUGGCUGACUUUCCAAGGCCUCUCUUCUUUCGGGCUAACUUAUCCAUUACUCUCCCUUCAUUCACUGGAGGUAAUGGAAAACCAAACCACUUUCACCCCUUUAUAACCACUUGACUGAUAACGUUUUGAUAUCUAACGGUAUUAAAAUCCAAUAUAAUCAAAUAUCUAAAGCACAACUCUUAGCAACGGAUAUCUUGGUUCUC